Molecule: long non-coding RNA, 1114 nt
Filed under: Jatropha curcas
Lineage: Eukaryota; Viridiplantae; Streptophyta; Magnoliopsida; Malpighiales; Euphorbiaceae
Description: long non-coding RNA (JCUR_LNC001005)
Source: RNAcentral
CGAGAUUAUAUAUAAAAAAUUCCGAAAGGCAAAGGGUAGGUGAUGGAGUCAGUUUGCCCAUUUCUUCGCCACCCUUCGCUUGUUACUUUGGGUUCUCUGAUACGAAGAUAAAGAGAUGAUUUGAAGUGAUAUUUGAUUUGACAGUGUUGUUGGGGUUGCCGUUGAACCCUUCUUUUUUUAACUUUCACCACCGACUACGAUCAAUCUUUCACUUCUUAUUCAAACUCCAAUUCCAUUUCCUCCACAAUGUAACUCGACUCCUUUCCUCAUAUUUCAAAUCAUGAAACAGUACUCAGCUUAGAAUGGUGUAAUGUGUUGUUGCUUUUGCUCAUGUUUCUUAUUCUUUCAUUAAAAUAUUGAAGCACUGUCAAAUCACCAUUCCUUCGCUGCUCAACUCCUUCCAAACUCAAGUUCUAACGUAUCACCUAGUCGGAAAAGAAGUUUUAUAAUUUUUAAGGUUGAAAGUUGAAACUAUUCUAUGCUCAUGUUUCUUAUUCUUUCAUUAAAAUAUUGAAGCACUGUCAAAUCACCAUUCCUUCGCUGCUCAACUCCUUCCAAACUCAAGUUCUAACGUAUCACCUAGUCGGAAAAGAAGUUUUAUAAUUUUUAAGGUUGAAAGUUGAAACUAUUCUAUGCUCAUGUUUCUUAUUCUUUCAUUAAAAUAUUGAAGCACUGUCAAAUCACCAUUCCUUCGCUGCUCAACUCCUUCCAAACUCAAGUUCUAACGUAUCAACUGGUCGGAAAAGAAGUUCUAUAAUUUUUAAGGUUGAAAGUUGAAACUAUAGUAUCGGAAUGGUCACUAACUCCAAGAAUAUGGGCCAAAAAGUGGACACAUAGAAGCAUCAUACAUGUCCCCAUUCAUGAAGAAUACUUUGGGUUUUACUUGUUUGUUUUUUUGUACGUUCUUCAUCUUGACCAUGUCAAGGAUUCAAGAACACUUUUUUGUAAAAGGCCUAGCUUUACUUGGUAACCUGGCCCAUUUAGUUUUUGCAUUCAGUCAUGAAACGGGCUUUGUUGUGGUUUGGGCAUAUUGAAAAACGGGCCUGCGCUCCAGCUUUAGUCACUUGACGAUAAAAUGUUGGUAUAAGUAUAAUUAUAAUAAAGUUCAACUUGC